AGGAACACACAUUGCAUCACGAUGGAGGAAUUCAGAUAUGACUUCAUUGUUUUAAACUACGGCGUGCAACAUGGUUCAAUGUGCCAGUAAAUCAGCACGAUCAACUUUAUUUUGAAUUGUAUUGCCGCUGUCACGGAGCUCUAGAAUUGGCAUCAAGUUUAUUGUGCUAACGAAGAUACAAACAGAGUAAUGGAGAGCACUGAAUAACAUGGCAGUACACGGGGUUUCGCCAUCUUUAUGCGUGUCCGCUAUAACGACGAAUCAAAGGCAAUUAUCAAUGUACCAGAGGACAUCCCAGGCAAACGUCAAGCUCUAACACGGAUUUGGAGAUGACUUCCUAGAGAGGAGCAGCCAUAGACUUAGAUAGACAUCGUAUCAUUGUAUCGGUCCCUGUAUGGCGUCCGUGAGAGCACGGGCAGCGCCAUUGAGGCCAUCUCCCUUUUGAAGUGGUACAUUUUCUACUUCUACUACGUCAAUGGCAAACAAACUGCCGCAUAGUGUGUUGUUUGAACAUGUAUAAAGCCAAGGUUGGCGAUUCAAUUCCACCUCCAGUUAUGGAAUGUUUCCUCACCAGUAAAAAUUCAUUGGCUGAAUCCUCCUGGUCACCCGGAUGGAAUUAUGUGAUCCUUCCUCAUAAUGGUGAAAGUCCUCAAUGGCGCUGCCAAUGAUAAAACAGGCUUUUGGGCACUCAGAGUCCUCUAUCUACACUCUUCGGGGGAAAAAAGGGUUCCAAAAGGGUUCUUGGCUGUCCCCAUAGGAGAACCCUUUUUGGUUCCAGGGAGAACUCUUUUUGGUUCCACAUAGAACCCUCUGUGGAAAGAGUCUAUCUCUAUGGAGCAGCCAAGGUUGGCCUAGCGUUGGGAAAGUGGUCCAGAGGAGUUAGCACUACGUUCAGCCAGUCUAACGUGUGCAACACAUCUCCAAAGGUGUUCAUUCCCCAAGGAGACCGGACAGGCACAAAAAAGGUCACACGAAAACCAAGUCCCAUCCAUUCUCCCAGCCACACACCAUAACAACCUCUACAGUAGCCUAUACUAACAAGACUACUUGAAUAAUUACAACAUGUGCUGCGUAGGGAACAGACCUGCAUCAGCAUGACAUGUUGACAUGCUAUUUUACACCCCAUUUGAUAUGAGAUACACCGUUCUGCCUUGAGAAGACAGCCCGAUAUUGUAAUGUAUAUGCCAUGUUCAUCGUAAGAGCUAGUCCACCUGGAUCAAUAGUCCUCCUAUUACCCUGCAGCAGCCACAUCGUUACAUUACAACCUUGCUGCAAUAAGAAUCACAUCACCUAGAAACACAUCACAGAGGAUAGGGCCCAGUGUGUAUCUGUGUGUGUGUGGGUGUGUGUGAGCCAGUGUGUGUGCACAAACAUUAUUUGUGGCAUUGUGCGCACAAGUGACAGCAGACAGGUCAGAGGGCAGUGUGGGAGGUAUGUGCAUCUCACCUCUCUGUGGAGGUGACACCAAGAGGCCAGGCCACUACAGUAGGCAAGUCUCUGGGUUGAGAACAGAGGGCUGUAAUAACCAGGCCCAGCUGGGUUUUGUGUAUUAAACGGCAGGUGGGUGGAGACAAGGCCUGCUAGCAGAUUAACAGGUCGGAAGGCAGAGGGCAUGCACACAACACUGCUUAAUAGAAUAAACGGCACAGUGAAAAUGUGCUCUGUAUUAAAUCUAAUUACCCUGCAGUAAUGGCACAGCUUUUUACGAUGUCCGUUGUGGCACGCCAAUGUUCAUUUACUGUAAUGUUAAUCUAAGUGGCUCCGAGUCUAGGGGAUCUCUGCGCUGCUUGAGGAGACAGUGUGUUUUCAGAGCAGGGGUAAGCAACUAGAUUCAUCCGUGUGCUUUUAAGUAUGCUGCCUCUAAUUCUCCCACAUUUCUUUAUCUCCCCUCCUGGAGGACCUGAGCCCUAGCAACAUGCCUCAGGACUACCUGGCCUGAUGACUCCUGGCUUUCUCAGUCCCCAGUCCACCUGGUCAUGCUGCUGAUGCAGUUUCUGCUGUUCUGCCUGCGGCUAUGGAAUCCUGACCUGUUCACCUGCUAUCUUAUACCGGGCCUGCUGUUUCCCCUCUCUCUCUCUCUCUCUCUCUCUCUCUCUCUCUCUUUCUACCGCACCUGCUGUCUUGGCCUCUGAAUGCUUGGCUAUGAAAAGCCAGCUGACCUGCUGCACCCUCUGUAACCACUGUGAUUAUUAUUUGACCCUGAACGUUUGAACAUCUUGAAAAAUGAUCUGGCCUUAAUGAUCAUGUACUCUUAUAAUCUCCACUGGCACAGCCAGAAGAGGAUUGCUGCCCCCCCCUCCCCAGAGCCUGGUUCCUCUCUGCCUUUCUAGGGAGUUUCUCCUAGCCAUUGUGAUUCUCCAUCUGCAUUGCUACUCUUUGGGGUUUCAGGCUGAGUUUCUUUAUAAACACUUUGUGACAUCUGCUGAUGUAAAAAGAGCUCUAUAAAUACAUUUGAUUGAUUGAUAAAGGCUAUAUAAUAGAGCACAGACAGGCUGGUUGGAUAAAGUCUGAGUAAGAACAUCCAGUCUUCCAUAUUGGCAGCUGCUGUGUUUUUGGCUGAAUCUCCAUCUACUUCCCUGUUUUAAUCAGAACACCUGAGAACCACCAGCUUGGAACAUAACGAACAGCUGUGGCCAGUCUCAUACUGAAUCUGCUUUGAGAGCAGUGUCCUACCUAGACCCAGACACUUCUGCUAUUCUUAUACACUGUAAUAAUAACAACACAUAACAGUUGGGCUACUGUACUGCAGAAGCAUAAUAGGCAUAGUCUAAAUUAAUGCUGACACAGUAAUUAGACAGUAGCCUGUUUUACCAUGUUUCAGCGCUGAAUUAAAGCCAAAUAAAGCAUAAUGUGCUUCCUAGGGAAAUUAAUUGGGAGAGAAAAAAAAACCACUCCUCCCGACCAAAACAAGUCAAACCAUCUGAGAGCCUUUCUUAACUUCUGCAUAACACACAUCUCUAUGACAUCCUCUGAUUCACAUAAAGAAUCACCCAUCAACAGCUAACACUUGGCCUUAGAGAAAAGUGUGUGUGUGUGUACGCGUGUACACGAAAGACAGAAAUAAGUGUACAGGGAGGUGCUGUGACAGCCGGUCACGGCGGUGAGAAUGAUCCUAUCUGCAGAACAAGGUGCUUGGGAAUAAUCGGUGGAGGCUGAGAGGCGUUGAGCACUCGGGCAGGUCAGGUCUGCUUGCUGGUAGCCCUGACAUGACAUCAGGUAGAAGGAGAGAGAGAGUGCGAGACUGAGGGUAAAUAAAAGAGAGAAGGGAGAGGCAUAUUGACAGAAUGGGAGAAAAACAAACACAAAAAAGAUUGAUAGGGAGGAAGAGGGAAAAGAGAAGGGGAGAAAGA
This is a long non-coding RNA of Oncorhynchus masou masou (cherry salmon), 3350 nucleotides long. RefSeq lists it as uncharacterized. NCBI's taxonomy places the organism in Eukaryota, Metazoa, Chordata, Actinopteri, Salmoniformes, Salmonidae. The transcript is spliced from 2 exons. The record is from RefSeq and is a predicted model, not a curated record.